UACGUAGGGUGCAAGCGUUAAUCGGAAUUACUGGGCGUAAAGCGUGCGCAGGCGGUUGGGCAAGACCGAUGUGAAAGCCCCGGGCUUAACCUGGGAAUGGCAUUGGUGACUGCACGGCUAGGGUGUGUCAGAGGGGGGUAGAAUUCCACGUGUAGCAGUGAAAUGCGUAGAGAUGUGGAGGAAUACCGAUGGCGAAGGCAGCCCCCUGGGAUAACACUGACGCUCAUGCACGAAAGCGUGGGGAGCAAACAGG
This 253-nucleotide ribosomal RNA is filed under the name uncultured bacterium. RNAcentral describes it as "partial 16S ribosomal RNA". It matches the Rfam family "Bacterial small subunit ribosomal RNA", at positions 524 to 776 of the family's 1533-position model. The record is from RNAcentral.